UUAAAUUGAAGAGUUUGAUCAUGGCUCAGAUUGAACGCUGGCGGCAGGCCUAACACAUGCAAGUCGAACGGUAACAGGAAGAAGCUUGCUUCUUUGCUGACGAGUGGCGGACGGGUGAGUAAUGUCUGGGAAACUGCCUGAUGGAGGGGGAUAACUACUGGAAACGGUAGCUAAUACCGCAUAACGUCGCAAGACCAAAGA
RNAcentral lists this ribosomal RNA (201 nucleotides) under Escherichia coli. Its description in RNAcentral is "partial 16S ribosomal RNA". It matches the Rfam family "Bacterial small subunit ribosomal RNA", at positions 1 to 207 of the family's 1533-position model. The record is from RNAcentral. Lineage: Bacteria; Pseudomonadati; Pseudomonadota; Gammaproteobacteria; Enterobacterales; Enterobacteriaceae.